RNAcentral lists this ribosomal RNA (254 nucleotides) under uncultured bacterium. RNAcentral's name for it is "partial 16S ribosomal RNA". It matches the Rfam family "Bacterial small subunit ribosomal RNA", at positions 524 to 776 of the family's 1533-position model. The record is from RNAcentral.
UACGUAGGGUGCAAGCGUUAUCCGGAAUUAUUGGGCGUAAAGAGCUCGUAGGCGGUUUGUCGCGUCUGCUGUGAAAACUGGAGGCUCAACCUCCAGCCUGCAGUGGGUACGGGCAGACUAGAGUGCGGUAGGGGAGAUUGGAAUUCCUGGUGUAGCGGUGGAAUGCGCAGAUAUCAGGAGGAACACCGAUGGCGAAAGGCAGAUCUCUGGGCCGUAACUGACGCUGAGGAGCGAAAGCAUGGGGAGCGAACAGG